RNAcentral lists this ribosomal RNA (497 nucleotides) under uncultured bacterium. Its description in RNAcentral is "partial 16S ribosomal RNA". It matches the Rfam family "Bacterial small subunit ribosomal RNA", at positions 28 to 507 of the family's 1533-position model. The record is from RNAcentral.
GAUGAACGCUGGCGGCGUGCCUAAUACAUGCAAGUCGAGCGAACGGACGAGAAGCUUGCUUCUCUGAUGUUAGCGGCGGACGGGUGAGUAACACGUGGAUAACCUACCUAUAAGACUGGGAUAACUUCGGGAAACCGGAGCUAAUACCGGAUAAUAUUUUGUACCGCAUGGUUCAAAAGUGAAAGACGGUCUUGCUGUCACUUAUAGAUGGAUCCGCGCUGCAUUAGCUAGUUGGUAAGGUAACGGCUUACCAAGGCAACGAUGCAUAGCCGACCUGAGAGGGUGAUCGGCCACACUGGAACUGAGACACGGUCCAGACUCCUACGGGAGGCAGCAGUAGGGAAUCUUCCGCAAUGGGCGAAAGCCUGACGGAGCAACGCCGCGUGAGUGAUGAAGGUCUUCGGAUCGUAAAACUCUGUUAUUAGGGAAGAACAUAUGCGUAAGUAACUGUGCACAUCUUGACGGUACCUAAUCAGAAAGCCACGGCUAACUACGUG